CGGGGUCGGAACUUCGGUUCCGGCUUACGUGGCGCACGGGUGAGUAACACGUGGGAAUCUGCCCAUCUAUGGGGAAUAACUGCGGGAAACUGCAGCUAAUACCGCAUACGCCCUUCGGGGGAAAGGCUUCGGCCGUAGAUGGAUGAGCCCGCGUCCGAUUAGCUAGUUGGUGGGGUAAAAGCCUACCAAGGCGACGAUCGGUAGCUGGUCUGAGAGGAUGAUCAGCCACACUGGGACUGAGACACGGCCCAGACUCCUACGGGAGGCAGCAGUGGGGAAUAUUGGACAAUGGGCGAAAGCCUGAUCCAGCAAUGCCGCGUGAGUGAUGAAGGUCUUCGGAUUGUAAAGCUCUUUCGACGGGGAAGAUAAUGACGGUACCCGUAGAAGAAGCCCCGGCUAACUUCGUGCCAGCAGCCGCGGUAAUACGAAGGGGGCUAGCGUUGUUCGGAUUUACUGGGCGUAAAGCGUGCGUAGGCGGCUUGUCAAGUCAGAAGUGAAAGCCCGGGGCUCAACUCCGGAACUGCUUUUGAGACUGGCAGGCUUGAGUUCGGGAGAGGGUAGUGGAAUUCCCAGUGUAGAGGUGAAAUUCGUAGAUAUUGGGAAGAACACCGGUG
Molecule: ribosomal RNA, 614 nt
Filed under: uncultured bacterium
Lineage: Bacteria
Description: bacterial SSU rRNA
Rfam family: Bacterial small subunit ribosomal RNA
Source: RNAcentral